This 541-nucleotide long non-coding RNA is filed under the name Danio rerio (zebrafish). RNAcentral's name for it is "lncRNA (ENSDARG00000117405.1)". The record is from RNAcentral. Lineage: Eukaryota; Metazoa; Chordata; Actinopteri; Cypriniformes; Danionidae.
GGUCGAAGGCCAAACGUUGUUUUUUGGCGCUAAUUCACCUCACCUGAAGUAAACAAACCUUUGGAAGCGAAUGUGAAACUGAAACAAGGAUUCAUUCAAGGAAUUCAACAAAGCUCCACAAAGCCGAAAAUUAAAAUGUGAUGAUCACAACAAGUGGGCAGCUUCAAUCCUCAGUGACAUCACCGAGGAAACACCCUAAUUAUCAGGGUAAGGUUUCCGCCUGCAGGGGGCGAUGUUUUACACACACAUUCACCAGACGCUCUUCUCAUCACAGCACCACAGCGCUCUGCCUCCAGCUUUAAGUGAGACUCGACCACACCGGCUUUUUCAGCAGUCCAAACUGGAUUCAGAUCAUGCCACCGAUACCAUCAGGUCACCAGCGGGUCUGACCGUCAAUUCCCAGCUUCCAGAAACCAUCACUCCCACCUCGGUUAAACGCAACAAAAGACCAGGAUUACUCCAAGCCAUGAAGAAAAUCUGGUCCAAGAAACGCUUUCAGGUGAGUCCUUGCAUGCCUCGUUUUUCAUGCCUUGCAUGUUGA